CUGACUGGAGAAUGCUAUCAGAAAGAUAUCUUUGUAAUGGUAAAUGAGAAACAAGAAUGAGGAGGGGCAAGGGAAGGAGCAGAAGAAAGAGGAGAGUAAUAGGGAUGGUGCAAGCAGAACAGUAUAUAUAGAGACACAGAUUAUCGGAAAACUGAGCUGUGGACAAUACCUGCGGGUUGGAAAUAGGAACAGAUGUGAGACUUACUCAGUGGAACUGUAAAGACAGAAAAAAGAAAAGUGAGGAUAGAGGGCUGUCCACUGCAAGAAGUGAGAAGCCUGUCUUGAACCUCUACAAAGAACAUACUGUUGUGGUUUGUGAAGAAUCUGAUCCUUCAGAGGAUGAGGAAGGGGAUUUUGUGGGGUCUCAAGAGGCAGUUUUGAAGGAUGGAAGUGGCAUGGAGAAUUCUCAGGAUGUUAGACAACUCUCUGUAACCCCCUGAAAAACUACACUGAAGAGUUCUCCAGACCUCUUGAGAGUACGUGGAAGGGAAUACAAGUGUGAGAGCCUGUCACUGGUAGUUUUACUAACAAAGACUGAUGUUUCCAGUUCAAAAAUCUCAAGUGCGGGAAGGAAUUGCAAUGGAAAUCCUACUUCUGAUUGCCAUACUAUAGAUCACUGGUGCAAGUCACAGAAACUUCUGUCUACUGUUAUCUGUAUGUUGGCUAGAGUGGAAAAGUGUCAGUGGUGGCUGGAGAGGUGCUGGUCUCUCUGCAGAAUCAUCCUUGACUUAAGUACAAGUCAUAUCCACAUUCAUAAUUUUGGCUUCCAAACUUGUCAUGGACUUAUACAUGCGUCCAACUUAUACCUUGUAUUACUUCAUUUUAUAAUUAUUAACCUGGGACUAUUUUACACUACAAUCUAGCUCUGUAAUUCUAUUUUAACUAGCAUGGUAAAAAAAAAUACUGUGGAAUCCUGCGAUUCAUAGUUUGAUGAAGCAGUAAAACUCCAAGAAUUCUAUGUACCCUAGAAUUCUACAACAUGGAAGCAUGAAAGUUACAGGGGAAUCAAGAGACUUGCUUUCCCCACCUCAAUAUGUGGGUGGGAUAGCACUUUGCUCCCUUGCAGUGAAUUGAAAGUUAUAAAAUAGUCCCGGGCAGGACUUGUUGGGUAUCAAUAUCCUCUGGAAUUGGGUCGGAAUUAUCCAUCUAUUUGCCUUAAAGGUCACCCUGGAAUCACCAGCUGUUGCAGCUGGGGACCAUGGUGUCUUACCCUUGAUAGAUGAAUAGGUCUUGAAUGGCCACUGCCUUGGUUUACUUACACACCAAAUUCAUGCCCUUGAAUUGGUUGGCAGUUCACAUAGAAAAUGAUUGGUAACAUUUAAUAAAAGUUAACCCACA
Anolis carolinensis (green anole) is the source of this 1338-nucleotide long non-coding RNA. RefSeq lists it as uncharacterized. NCBI's taxonomy places the organism in Eukaryota, Metazoa, Chordata, Lepidosauria, Squamata, Anolidae. The transcript has 4 exons. The record is from RefSeq and is a predicted model, not a curated record.